RNAcentral lists this ribosomal RNA (492 nucleotides) under uncultured bacterium. RNAcentral's name for it is "partial 16S ribosomal RNA". It matches the Rfam family "Bacterial small subunit ribosomal RNA", at positions 29 to 507 of the family's 1533-position model. The record is from RNAcentral.
AGUGAACGCUGGCGGUAGGCCUAACACAUGCAAGUCGAACGGCAGCACAGUAAGAGCUUGCUCUUACGGGUGGCGAGUGGCGGACGGGUGAGGAAUACAUCGGAAUCUACUUUUUCGUGGGGGAUAACGUAGGGAAACUUACGCUAAUACCGCAUACAACCUACGGGUGAAAGCAGGGGAUCUUCGGACCUUGCGCGAUUGAAUGAGCCGAUGUCGGAUUAGCUAGUUGGCGGGGUAAAGGCCCACCAAGGCGACGAUCCGUAGCUGGUCUGAGAGGAUGAUCAGCCACACUGGAACUGAGACACGGUCCAGACUCCUACGGGAGGCAGCAGUGGGGAAUACUGGACAAUGGGCGCAAGCCUGAUCCAGCCAUACCGCGUGGGUGAAGAAGGCCUUCGGGUUGUAAAGCCCUUUUGUUGGGAAAGAAAAGCAGCAGGUUAAUACCCCGCUGUUCUGACGGUACCCAAAGAAUAAGCACCGGCUAACUUCGUG